CCACCACCUAAUAGAAACCUCACUACUCAAACCAGCCCAUUUCCACUUAUAUUCCUCAGUUUGAGGUCUCAAUAACCAAAUUUAUAAAGCUACUAGCUAACCCAAAUAUAACAAAGCUUUGUGUGAAAAUGAGAAGAUUGACUCUUGGGGUGAUCCUUCUGCUUGUGCUGAUCAGCUCGGCCAUGGUAACCGAAGGGGCGAAGCGUAUGAGUCUCCGACGUCUGGCUGAGAAACCCGAGCCGCGGCUGCGGGGUAAUGAGAAUGAAAGGGGCAAAAGUAGGCGCCCUGAUAGUGAAAGUGGUGGAUACAAUCACCAUGGGUGUCCCAGAAGAGAUGUGGAUUGCUGGAGUAAUUGAAAGCAAACUGGAGGGUAAUUGAUAUAAUAAGUUGGCUAGCUAGACUAUCUGUGUUAAAUAAACGAGGCCACAAUGAGAUAACUAUUUCGAAGCCAAA
Molecule: long non-coding RNA, 453 nt
Organism: Momordica charantia (bitter melon)
Lineage: Eukaryota; Viridiplantae; Streptophyta; Magnoliopsida; Cucurbitales; Cucurbitaceae
Source: RefSeq, a predicted model, not a curated record